RNAcentral lists this ribosomal RNA (539 nucleotides) under uncultured bacterium. RNAcentral's name for it is "bacterial SSU rRNA". It matches the Rfam family "Bacterial small subunit ribosomal RNA", at positions 356 to 896 of the family's 1533-position model. The record is from RNAcentral.
GAGGAAUAUUGGUCAAUGGGCGCGAGCCUGAACCAGCCAAGUAGCGUGCAGGAUGACGGCCCUAUGGGUUGUAAACUGCUUUUGUAUGGGGAUAAAGUCAAUCACGUGUGAUUGUUUGCAGGUACCAUACGAAUAAGGACCGGCUAAUUCCGUGCCAGCAGCCGCGGUAAUACGGAAGGUCCGGGCGUUAUCCGGAUUUAUUGGGUUUAAAGGGAGCGUAGGCUGGAGAUUAAGUGUGUUGUGAAAUGUAGACGCUCAACGUCUGACUUGCAGCGCAUACUGGUUUCCUUGAGUACGCACAACGUUGGCGGAAUUCGUCGUGUAGCGGUGAAAUGCUUAGAUAUGACGAAGAACUCCGAUUGCGAAGGCAGCUGACGGGAGCGCAACUGACGCUGAAGCUCGAAGGUGCGGGUAUCGAACAGGAUUAGAUACCCUGGUAGUCCGCACAGUAAACGAUGGAUGCCCGCUGUUGGUACUUGGUAUCAGCGGCUAAGCGAAAGCAUUAAGCAUCCCACCUGGGGAGUACGCCGGCAACGGUG